AAAUUUUUUUAUUGAAUUUGCCGAUAAAGUAGUAGAUUUGUCCCUCCAAAUCCAAACCCACCAAUCAUACAUCACAUUUAAUUAAAUAUUUUCCCAAUUAAUUUAAUAAAUAUAGGAUUGCGUGACCUCCAUAUACAAUUCCUGCUUUUCACACCUCUCCGUUUCUCUCUCUUGAAAUUGCGUGAGGUUUCCGUGAAUGUGACCCCUGCGUUAACUUUCAUAUUUGGAGCGAAAUCUGCUUCCACUUUUGCAGAAUUUGAUGGGAUUGUUGCUUGUUGAAGAGUAUCGGCUACUUUUUCAUGACAUGUUUAACUUAAAGGAAAAACGCCACUGAGGAAGGCGGGUUUAACUUGGGAAAAAUGGGCCAGGCGAGUUUAACUUGGGAAAAAUGCGCCAGAUUGAAACACGCCAGUGGUGAAGGCGUUUUUAUCCAAAAAACGCCAACAAACUUGGCGUGUUUUAACAUACUGCAUUUCGAUACAAUACGACGACAUACGGUUCUAAAUUGUAAAACGCCAAUGUGGGUGGCGUCUUCACUUAUAAACACGCCAUUGUGGGUGGCGUUUUUCCCAUAUAUGGAAGAGAUAUCAAAAUGGGUAUAUUUACGUUAUUUUAAACGUAAACUACCCUAUAAACCCGAUUUUCUCCUCUCUCUCCCUCUUCUUCUCUUUUCUUCUCUCUCGCCCAAAUUGCAGUCAAAUUCCCCAUCGUCGUCGCCUCUCCGAUUCACCCUUCGCCGGCCGCCGCUGCUGUCAGAAUCGCGUCGUCGCUGCUCCGUCGUCGCCGCUGCUGUCGUCGUUCGAUCCAGCCGGUGAGUGCCACUGCCGGUGGUCGUGCAGCCGUCGCCGGGAGGAGCUGCUGCUGCCGUCGGGAGGAGGCUGCUGCACUAGACCCAGCCGCUGCGUCGUUGCUGCUGCUGUACCGGGAUCGAUAUCGCGAUGCCGCUGCCCCGCGUACACCGCCGUCGCUGCCGGGAGGUGCUGCAUCCGGUCAGCCCCCGAUUCCGCCCCGAAGUUCACGGAGGAGGAAUAUCUACUCACGAAGGAGGAAAAUCUGCGUAGAAUAUUUAAUUGAAGAUAUUUUAUUUUAAUUAGUUUAGUUUAAUUCACAGCCCAUUGUAUUUUAUAUUAAAUUGUGCAGUCCGCAACUUAUUUGUCACGGACUGGAUUUUUAUAACAUUUAUUUAAUUUAUCGGAUCCAA
Molecule: long non-coding RNA, 1201 nt
Organism: Salvia splendens (bonfire salvia)
Lineage: Eukaryota; Viridiplantae; Streptophyta; Magnoliopsida; Lamiales; Lamiaceae
Exons: 2
Source: RefSeq, a predicted model, not a curated record